UCUCUGUGUGUUGAGUGUCUUUUGCAGUUGUCUUGUUAGGCUUUCAUCUUUAUUUUUGCACAAAUUCUUUGAAUUUUAGUUAAAUUUGUUUCUGCUAUGCGCUGAGAGUCACAGGGUGUUUGAAGGGACUCUUUUCUUUCUGUGUUUCUGUUCUGUGCUCUGCGCUGAGAGUCACAGGCUGUUUGAAGGGAGUUAUUGGGUGCAUUUUAAGAGUGUUUCGAAGAAGUGUUUUUACCUAUUGUCUACGUUUUCUGUUGAUUUUCCAUGUUGUGCAGGAAAUGUCGGGUGCUUCAAAUGUUAAAGCUUAUAGAAGGUCUUAUAAAUGGAAUUGUGAUAAUGUUUUGAACUUUUUUGUGUGGGGUGAGAAUGUCAUAGGGGUCCUCCUUCUAAUUCAUUGUGGGUAAUCUUUUCAUUGUCUUUCUUAAGAAUGCAGAAAUCAGGAAUAGCACCCCUACCCCUCUAUAAUUUGAUGGAGGCGGCAUGUUUGGUCAAAGCAUUUAAUCAUUACUUUUUGUUUUAUAUGCCAUGGCCGAUUUAGGGUUAAAUGUAUUUUUGUUUUUUAUUGCAGGGUGCACGUAUCCCAGAUAUUUCUAACACUUCCGAUUUUUUUAGUUUUAUAUAAUAAAAUAUGUUUUCUAUAGUUUAUGGUUUUAUUAAAAAGUAUUAUAUUUUAAGUUUUGGAUGAGAUGAAAGUAAUUAAUGAUUAUAUUUAGCAUUUUAAUGGUGUGUUGAUGGAAUUAAUUAUUUAAUAUAAUUUAAAAUUUAUAUCUUUUUAUUAGUAAUAAUAAAUUUUUCAUUUUAGUUAGAUGGUUAUAUGUAUACAAAGUUAAUAUAAAUUAAGUUUUAAGAUAAUGUUAUAUAAUACAAAGACAUUAUAAAUGAAUAUAAAGAAAAUGAACAUUUGAAGAUUGUUGAUGAUAGAAGAAAUUAGGAGAGGGAGAGACUUCAAAAAUUAUGGAAAUGAAGACUAUUAAAGAAGAUGGGCAUUUUUAAAUCUUCAAUAUUCAUUUUUUUUAAUUUUCUUUCAUAAUGUCUUUGUAUUAAGUAAUAUUUUUUUUUGAAAUUUUGUUUAUAUUGAUUUUGUAUACAUUAUGAUUAUCUAACCAAAAUUGAAUAAUUUUUUGUUAAUAAUAAAAUAUUUGUAUGUUAUAAAUUAUGAUCAAUGCUUUGAUAUUAUCACUACUAUUAGGUUGUUUCUUUAUAUUGUGUGUCCAUAUGUGUUGUACAGGAAAAUUUUAUCAUCCUUUAGCUUGAAGUUACUCUAUGGAAACUUGAUAUUAUGUUGGUGCUUCAUGUUGAACCUCACAAAACUAUUAAAUUCUUGAUCGGAAAAAACCUCUACCUUGAAUUGCUUGUAGAGAAGCUUGGAUUAUAUUGGUGCUUCAUGUUGAAGCUCAAAAAUCAUAUAAUUGUAGAUCAGGAGAAGUGGAUCCCAAAUCUUGAAGUGCUUCUAUGUAAACUUGGUAUUAUGUUGGUGCUUCUUAGAUUGAAGUGGCUCUAUAGAAAAUUCAUAUCUUGCUGAGCUCAAAAGAACAUAUAAUUUUGAAGUGCUUCUAUGUAAACUUGGUAUUAUGUUGGUGCUUCUUAAAUUGAAGUGGCUCUAUACAAAAUUCAUAUAUUGUUGGAGCUCAAAAGAACAUAUAUUGCUUGUUGAUGAAUGUGUCCAGAAUUAUCAAUAUUCUUUUUA
Molecule: long non-coding RNA, 1687 nt
Organism: Cryptomeria japonica (Japanese cedar)
Lineage: Eukaryota; Viridiplantae; Streptophyta; Pinopsida; Cupressales; Cupressaceae
Exons: 3
Source: RefSeq, a predicted model, not a curated record